UCCCUGGCAGUCCAGUGGUUAGGACUCUCAACUUCCAUUAGAGUGGGUGCAGGUUUGAUCCCUGGUCCAGGAA
This 73-nucleotide transfer RNA is filed under the name Ovis aries (sheep). It matches the Rfam family "tRNA". Rfam says of the family: Transfer RNA (tRNA) molecules are approximately 80 nucleotides in length. Their secondary structure includes four short double-helical elements and three loops (D, anti-codon, and T loops). Further hydrogen bonds mediate the characteristic L-shaped molecular structure. tRNAs have two regions of fundamental functional importance: the anti-codon, which is responsible for specific mRNA codon recognition, and the 3' end, to which the tRNAs corresponding amino acid is attached (by aminoacyl-tRNA synthetases). tRNAs cope with the degeneracy of the genetic code in two manners: having more than one tRNA (with a specific anti-codon) for a particular amino acid; and 'wobble' base-pairing, i.e. permitting non-standard base-pairing at the 3rd anti-codon position. The record is from Rfam by way of RNAcentral. Lineage: Eukaryota; Metazoa; Chordata; Mammalia; Artiodactyla; Bovidae.